Molecule: ribosomal RNA, 482 nt
Filed under: uncultured bacterium
Lineage: Bacteria
Description: bacterial SSU rRNA
Rfam family: Bacterial small subunit ribosomal RNA
Source: RNAcentral
UUGAACGCUGGCGGAAUGCUUUACACAUGCAAGUCGAGCGGCAGCGCGGGGGCAACCCUGGCGGCGAGCGGCGAACGGGUGAGUAACAUAUCGGAACGUCCCCUAUCGUGGGGGAUACCACAUCGAAAGAUGUGCUAAUCCCGCAUACGACCUGAGGGUGAAAGCAGGGGAUCGCAAGACCUUGCGCGACAGGAGCGGCCGAUCUCGGAUUAGCUAGUUGGUGAGGUAAAGGCUCACCAAGGCGACGAUCCGUAGCUGGUCUGAGAGGACGACCAGCCACACUGGAACGGGGACACGGUCCAGACGCCUACGGGAGGCAGCAGUGGGGAAUUUUGGACAAUGGGGGCAACCCUGAUCCAGCCAGUCCGCGUGAGUGAAGAAGGCCUGCGGGUUGUAAAACUCGUGCGGCAGGAACGAAACGGUGAGCUCUAACAUAGAGGGCUAAUGACGGUACCUGAAGAAGAAGCACCGGCUAACUACGU